RNAcentral lists this ribosomal RNA (330 nucleotides) under Triticum aestivum (bread wheat). RNAcentral's name for it is "partial small subunit ribosomal RNA". Lineage: Eukaryota; Viridiplantae; Streptophyta; Magnoliopsida; Poales; Poaceae. The record is from RNAcentral.
AUGGCGACCCUGUUCUGCGCGGCCGCUGCCACCUCGUGCCGUCUCGCCUUCCCGCUUGCCGUGCCGGCGCCGGCGCCAGGCCUUGGCCGCGGCCGGGCCCGACGCGGCACGGUGGCGGUGCGUGCGGAGGCAGGGACCGGGAUAAACCCGGCCAUCCGGAAGGAGGAGGCCAAGGUGGUCGACACCGUCCUGGCCGGGGAGCUCUCCAAGCCGCUCACCCCGUACUGCCGGUGCUGGAGAUCGGGAACAUUUCCACUGUGUGAUGGAAGCCAUGUGAAGCACAACAAAGCAACGGGUGAUAAUGUAGGGCCCUUGCUUGUUAAGAAGUAG